CCUACGGGAGGCAGCAGUGAGGAAUAUUGGUCAAUGGGCGGAAGCCUGAACCAGCCAAGUAGCGUGCGGGAUGAAGGCCCUACGGGUCGUAAACCGCUUUUGCACGGGGAUAACACCCUCCACUUGUGGAGGUCUGCAGGUACCGUGCGAAAAAGCAUCGGCUAACUCCGUGCCAUCAGCCGCGGUAAUACGGAGGAAGCGAGCGUUAUCCGGAUUUAUUGGGUUUAAAGGGGGCGCGGGCGGAGGUGCAAGUCAGAGGUCAAAUUGCGGGGCUCAACCCCGUACUGCCGUUGAAACUGCAUCCCUUGAGUGCGCGAGAAGUAUGCGGAAUGCGUGGUGUAGCGGUGAAAUGCAUAGAUAUCACGCAGAACUCCGAUUGCGAAGGCAGCAUACCGGCGCGCAACUGACGCUCAUGCACGAAAGCGUGGGUAUCGAACAGGAUUAGAUACCCGAGUAGUC
RNAcentral lists this ribosomal RNA (459 nucleotides) under uncultured bacterium. RNAcentral describes it as "partial 16S ribosomal RNA". It matches the Rfam family "Bacterial small subunit ribosomal RNA", at positions 338 to 795 of the family's 1533-position model. The record is from RNAcentral.